RNAcentral lists this ribosomal RNA (232 nucleotides) under uncultured bacterium. RNAcentral describes it as "partial 16S ribosomal RNA". It matches the Rfam family "Bacterial small subunit ribosomal RNA", at positions 99 to 334 of the family's 1533-position model. The record is from RNAcentral.
CGGACGGGUGAGUAAUGUCUGGGAAACUGCCCGAUGGAGGGGGAUAACUACUGGAAACGGUAGCUAAUACCGCAUAACGUCGCGAGACCAAAGAGGGGGACCUUAGGGCCUCUUGCCAUCGGAUGUGCCCAGAUGGGAUUAGCUAGUAGGUGGGGUAAUGGCUCACCUAGGCGACGAUCCCUAGCUGGUCUGAGAGGAUGACCAGCCACACUGGAACUGAGACACGGUCCAG